UUUUAGCCCCGAUAGAAGUGGAAAUCCUUUUGUGCCGGGGUUCGGCGCAAAAGAUUGAAACGAAUAGCGGGAAAAAAC
Molecule: small RNA, 78 nt
Filed under: Flavobacterium sp. 245
Lineage: Bacteria; Pseudomonadati; Bacteroidota; Flavobacteriia; Flavobacteriales; Flavobacteriaceae
Description: Flavo-1 RNA
Rfam family: Flavo-1 RNA
Source: RNAcentral